AUAUUGGACAAUGGGGGAAACCCUGAUCCAGCAAUGCCGCGUGAAUGAAGAAGGCCUUAGGGUUGUAAAAUUCUUUUGUUCGUGAAGAUAAUGACGGUAGCGGACGAAUAAGCCCUGGCUAACUCUGUGCCAGCAGCCGCGGUAAUACAGAGAGGGCAAGCGUUGUCCGGAAUGACUGGGCGUAAAGCGCGCGCAGGCGGUUUUUUAAGUUGGAUGUGAAAUCCCCGGGCUCAACCUGGGAACUGCAUUCGAUACUGGGAAACUAGAGGCCGAGAGAGGAAAGCGGAAUGACGAGUGUAGAGGUGAAAUUCGUAGAUAUUCGUCGGAACACCAGAGGCGAAGGCGGCUUUCUGGCUCGGACCUGACGCUCAGGCGCGAAAGCGUGGGGAGCAAACAGGA
This 399-nucleotide ribosomal RNA is filed under the name uncultured bacterium. RNAcentral's name for it is "bacterial SSU rRNA". It matches the Rfam family "Bacterial small subunit ribosomal RNA", at positions 361 to 777 of the family's 1533-position model. The record is from RNAcentral.